RNAcentral lists this transfer-messenger RNA (348 nucleotides) under Thermus tengchongensis. It matches the Rfam family "transfer-messenger RNA". Rfam says of the family: Bacterial tmRNA, also known as 10Sa RNA or SsrA, is named for its dual tRNA and mRNA-like properties. Its role is to liberate the mRNA from a stalled ribosome. To accomplish this part of the tmRNA is used as a reading frame that ends in a translation stop signal. The record is from RNAcentral. Lineage: Bacteria; Thermotogati; Deinococcota; Deinococci; Thermales; Thermaceae.
GGGGGUGAACGGUCUCGACGGGGGUCGCCGAGGGCAGGUGGCGCGCCGAGGUGCGGGUGGCCUCGUAAAAACCCGCAAAAGAAUAAAGGCCAACAAGCCUGCUUACGCUCUCGCGGCUUAGACCCGCGACCUCGCCCGGAAGCCCUGCCGGGGGCUCGCCGGCGCGGGGACACCAAACCCGGCUAGCUGUGGGCAACGCCCCGUAGUCCGCAGCGAACCUUAACGGGGCUUGCUUCUGGCCGCCCGUCCGCGGGCCAAGCCAGGAGGACAUCCAAAACGCGGACUACGCGCGUAGAGGCCUGCCGUAGGGACUUUCGGACGGGGGUUCGACUCCCCCCACCUCCACCA